Molecule: long non-coding RNA, 573 nt
Filed under: Homo sapiens (human)
Lineage: Eukaryota; Metazoa; Chordata; Mammalia; Primates; Hominidae
Description: non-protein coding UVRAG-DT:24
Source: RNAcentral
AGCUCUUUCAUGACCAGCUCCAACCGACAAGUACACGCCCCUUCGCACUCCACUAGCUAGUAAGCUGAGCUACAAGGUGUGCCAGGCACCCAGGACGCCGAUUCACCGCUUCAGUGAAGGCCCAGCUCAAAUGCCACCUCUUCCAUGAAGACUUCCGUGAUCCACAAUGAUAGCAUCUCCAGCAAUUGCUUCUAUAAUGAAUAGCAUGAGUCAUUCUGCAGGAUGUUGAUCUUCCUUUUUUUACUCCUAGACUGAAUUUUUCCACCACCUGGAUGAACAUAGCAGAAAGAACAUAGUGUUUUAGAGUCAGACACAAUAGGAAUCAGGCACUUUGGAAUCUUGGCUCUACCACCUUUGAGCUAUGUAUCCCAAGUCAAACACCCAUCAGACCUUUGCCAGGUGUCCAGCCUGGGCACUACGUUUCAGAAAAUGAUGCACAUAGAAUCCCUAACUGAAAGGAGAUCGCAGCUCAUUUGGUACAAAGUGCUUUUAGCCUGGGUAAGGAGCUGGAGAGAUGUGAAAAUGUGGAAAGCAAGCCUAAGUCGCAGUGUGGCCUAUGCCUGAGAGCCAUCU